This 361-nucleotide ribosomal RNA is filed under the name uncultured Escherichia sp. RNAcentral describes it as "bacterial SSU rRNA". It matches the Rfam family "Bacterial small subunit ribosomal RNA", at positions 8 to 365 of the family's 1533-position model. Lineage: Bacteria; Pseudomonadati; Pseudomonadota; Gammaproteobacteria; Enterobacterales; Enterobacteriaceae. The record is from RNAcentral.
AGAGUUUGAUCCUGGCUCAGAUUGAACGCUGGCGGCAGGCCUAACACAUGCAAGUCGAACGGUAACAGGAAGCAGCUUGCUGCUUUGCUGACGAGUGGCGGACGGGUGAGUAAUGUCUGGGAAACUGCCUGAUGGAGGGGGAUAGCUACUGGAAACGGUAGCUAAUACCGCAUAACGUCGCAAGACCAAAGAGGGGGACCUUCGGGCCUCUUGCCAUCGGAUGUGCCCAGAUGGGAUUAGCUAGUAGGUGGGGUAACGGCUCACCUAGACGACGAUCCCUAGCUGGUCUGAGAGGAUGACCAGACACACUGGAACUGAGACACGGUCCAGACUCCUACGGGAGGCAGCAGUGGGGAAUAUU